This 375-nucleotide ribosomal RNA is filed under the name Triticum aestivum (bread wheat). RNAcentral's name for it is "partial small subunit ribosomal RNA". The record is from RNAcentral. Lineage: Eukaryota; Viridiplantae; Streptophyta; Magnoliopsida; Poales; Poaceae.
AUGGCUGAUAAAUUAACUGCCAUACCUAUCGGUAUUUGUGAGGAUGUGCCCGUUGUUGUUGCUAAUGUUACUAUUCUGAUUGACUUUGUUAUACUAGAGAUGCCCGAGGAUGAAAACAUGUCGAUUAUCCUUGGUAGACCCUUCUUGAAUACUACAGGGGUUGUUAUCGAUUGCAAUAAAAGCAAUAUCACUUUUCAUAUCAAUGGUAAUGAGCAUAUGGUGCACUUUCCGAAGAAACAAUUCCUAGUGAAUAGUAUUAAUGUUAUUGAAAGAUCUCUGACAAUCACUAUUGGAAGUUUUCAACUACCUCUACCUACUGUUAAAAAGAAAUAUAAAAUGCUUAUUGUUGGAGACAUUCAUAUCCCAUUGAGGUAA